UAACGUCCUGCCAAACCCGU
RNAcentral lists this non-coding RNA (20 nucleotides) under Arabidopsis thaliana (thale cress). The record is from RNAcentral. Lineage: Eukaryota; Viridiplantae; Streptophyta; Magnoliopsida; Brassicales; Brassicaceae.